RNAcentral lists this transfer RNA (72 nucleotides) under Ophiostoma novo-ulmi subsp. novo-ulmi H327. Its description in RNAcentral is "tRNA-Pro (AGG) (tRNA-Pro-AGG-1 1 to 9)". It matches the Rfam family "tRNA". From Rfam's summary of the family: Transfer RNA (tRNA) molecules are approximately 80 nucleotides in length. Their secondary structure includes four short double-helical elements and three loops (D, anti-codon, and T loops). Further hydrogen bonds mediate the characteristic L-shaped molecular structure. tRNAs have two regions of fundamental functional importance: the anti-codon, which is responsible for specific mRNA codon recognition, and the 3' end, to which the tRNAs corresponding amino acid is attached (by aminoacyl-tRNA synthetases). tRNAs cope with the degeneracy of the genetic code in two manners: having more than one tRNA (with a specific anti-codon) for a particular amino acid; and 'wobble' base-pairing, i.e. permitting non-standard base-pairing at the 3rd anti-codon position. Lineage: Eukaryota; Fungi; Ascomycota; Sordariomycetes; Ophiostomatales; Ophiostomataceae. RNAcentral also lists the same sequence under 1 other name. The record is from RNAcentral.
GGUCUGUUGGUCUAGUGGUAUGAUUCUCGCUUAGGGUGCGAGAGGUCCCGUGUUCGAUCCACGGACAGACCC